This 75-nucleotide transfer RNA is filed under the name Rhodoblastus acidophilus. RNAcentral describes it as "tRNA-Gln". It matches the Rfam family "tRNA". Rfam says of the family: Transfer RNA (tRNA) molecules are approximately 80 nucleotides in length. Their secondary structure includes four short double-helical elements and three loops (D, anti-codon, and T loops). RNAcentral also lists the same sequence under 2 other names. Lineage: Bacteria; Pseudomonadati; Pseudomonadota; Alphaproteobacteria; Hyphomicrobiales; Rhodoblastaceae. The record is from RNAcentral.
UGGGGCGUCGCCAAGCGGUAAGGCAGCGGAUUUUGAUUCCGCCAUACGUAGGUUCGAAUCCUGCCGCCCCAGCCA